This 155-nucleotide ribosomal RNA is filed under the name bacterium 052302. RNAcentral's name for it is "partial 16S rRNA". It matches the Rfam family "Bacterial small subunit ribosomal RNA", at positions 355 to 507 of the family's 1533-position model. RNAcentral also lists the same sequence under 1 other name. The record is from RNAcentral.
UGAGGAAUAUUGGACAAUGGGUGCGAGCCUGAUCCAGCCAUCCCGCGUGAAGGAUGACGGCCCUAUGGGUUGUAAACUUCUUUUGUACAGGGAUAAACCUAGAUACGUGUAUCUAGCUGAAGGUACUGUACGAAUAAGCACCGGCUAACUCCGUG